This 348-nucleotide long non-coding RNA is filed under the name Hordeum vulgare. RNAcentral's name for it is "long non-coding RNA (HVUL_LNC018863)". Lineage: Eukaryota; Viridiplantae; Streptophyta; Magnoliopsida; Poales; Poaceae. The record is from RNAcentral.
UCCUUUGCAACUUAGACUUGGUAGCUAGCUCUCUGCAGUCCUAGAAAAGCAGCAAACGCUCCGGGAUUUCCUUUCUUCUUUGGGUAUUUUGGGUUCUUUGCUCUUUGGGUGGUCGGUUGGUUUUAUUCUUCCAAAAGGAGCCUCCCUCUUCUCUCUCUGAGUAAUAUGGAUGGAAAGAAGCCAAAAAAGGCUUAUAAAUGGAUGGAUGGAUGAAUGCAUGCAUGAUUGGAAAUGUACAAAAUAUGAUGCCCACACCACAUUUAUGCUCAUCACUUACUAUUCCCAUAAUUUUUGUCCUGGAUUUGCACUCAAAACUGUUGUCAGUGCAAGUGGUGGACCGGGUGUCAU